Molecule: ribosomal RNA, 385 nt
Filed under: uncultured bacterium
Lineage: Bacteria
Description: bacterial SSU rRNA
Rfam family: Bacterial small subunit ribosomal RNA
Source: RNAcentral
AACUAACGCUGGCGGCGCGUCUUAAACAUGCAAGUCGAGCGGUAAGGCCCGCAAGGGUACACGAGCGGCAAACGGGUGAGUAACACGUAGGUAAUCUUCCCUUCAGUGGGGGACAACCUGCCGAAAGGCAGGCUAAUACCCCAUAUUUCCAGUCCUUCCACGGUGGGAUUGUAGAAAGCAGCAAUGCGCUGAAGGAUGAGCCUGCGGCUGAUUAGCUUGUUGGCGGGGUAACGGCCCACCAAGGCGACGAUCAGUAGCCGGCCUGAGAGGGUGUCCGGCCACACUGGGACUGAGACACGGCCCAGACUCCUACGGGAGGCAGCAGUUAAGAAUCUUGCGCAAUGGGCGCAAGCCUGACGCAGCGACGCCGCGUGCGCGAUGAAGG